AGUAAAUAUUUCCUUAACAUUGAUUAAAAGUUAUAAGAGAAUUAAUCAUUUUUUCUCAUAUUAUAAGUUAUAAUAAGGGAUAAUAACUAAGGAAAUAUUUAAUAGAAACCAGCUCAUAUGAGAAGUUACUUGUAAGUUAGUUUUGUCUUAUUUCAAGUGUUUUAAGAUAUUUACUCUAGAAACUAGACCAAAGAAAUACUUGGUAAGAUUUUUCUUUGUAUCAGACUAAGCUCAAGAAUAAUAAUUUCUAAAAUUUAAAAAACAUAACACUGUAAUCACAACAAUAAUAAAAACCUGGUAUGUUUUUAUUUUUGUUUUAGUGGACAUCUGGUUGUGUUUCUCCUGCAGCUUUCUCUGCUGCGUCGUCGUUUUCUUUAAUAAGUAGCUCAGACUUUGAACCACGGCGACAAGCAAUGCAGCUGUUAAUAUUUGUCCAAAUCUGUCCCUGUACAGUGAAAACUCCAUAUGCGGCAAUAAAAUUACACAAUUCACUGAUAACACCAGAGUAUUGAAGACAAAGAGAAGCAGUAAAAGAGAUUACAUAAUGGAAACACAAAGGUUUAAAGUCUCUGAUCGUGAAGAUUCGAUUGUUUAUGAUGUGCGAUAAAACUCAACAAUGAGUUACUAAGCUGUGCAUUUUUGAAAAUAACUAAAGUUAAACACAACUCAUCUUUUGCUUUGCAGGUCUAGAUAUGAAGAAUGUUUUAGUUGAGUAGAGAGGAUUACUGCAAAAGGUUGUUGCUAAUGUUAUAAACUCAUGAUAAGUUGGCAUUUACUGUGCAUUAAGUCUAUUAGAAACUCCAUUCAGAAAUCUGAUUUUUCCAAGCUGACACAAAGACAGCUUCUAAGACAGCUUGGUAAAAACAGAGUAAAAAUCAACUUUCCCUUUAAUGUUUAUUAGCUUUUAAUGAGAAAAGCAGCAGAAACGUCUUUAUUAUUGGCAUAAACCUUUUGGUUUUAUGUGUUUAUGCUACACUGUAAAAAGAUAAAAUAAACAAAUAAAUAAAUUGUGUAAUUUAUGUUCAAAUACUGUGCAACUGUGGUUACCAGAGUUUUACUAAAAAUGGACGUAGUGUAACAUUUUUCACAUAUUUAUAUAAUUUUUAUGUUUUGGCAGCCAUCACUUUAACAGCUCAGAACUGUAAAAAAUACUUGAAAUUUAUUCUUUUUUUGGAGUUAUGGCAUCUCAAUGUAUUUUCUACAGUAAUAAUGAUUUUGAUUUUACAAUCUGUAACUAUUGGUACAUUAAAAAAAAAUAUUUGUCUGCAUUUUGA
Molecule: long non-coding RNA, 1274 nt
Organism: Xiphophorus couchianus (Monterrey platyfish)
Lineage: Eukaryota; Metazoa; Chordata; Actinopteri; Cyprinodontiformes; Poeciliidae
Exons: 2
Source: RefSeq, a predicted model, not a curated record